RNAcentral lists this ribosomal RNA (607 nucleotides) under Grosmannia serpens. RNAcentral describes it as "eukaryotic LSU rRNA". The stretch from base 224 to 607 matches the Rfam family "Eukaryotic large subunit ribosomal RNA", at positions 1 to 387 of the family's 3401-position model. Lineage: Eukaryota; Fungi; Ascomycota; Sordariomycetes; Ophiostomatales; Ophiostomataceae. The record is from RNAcentral.
UGCCUGUCCGAGCGUCAUUUCCUCCCUCACGCAGCGCGCCUGCGUGGUGUUGGGGCGUUCUGCGGCCAGGCCUGCGACUAGCAGGCCGCCGCAGCCCCCGAAAGCCAGUGGCGGGCCGGCAGCGGGCUCCGAGCGCAGUAAGCAGCAGUGCCCUCGCUCUGGACGCCCCCGCCUGCGCCCUGCCCCAAAGACGGCAGACGCGAGUCUCCCUCCUUCUCAAGGUUGACCUCGGAUCAGGUARGACUACCCGCUGAACUUAAGCAUAUCAAUAAGCGGAGGAAAAGAAACCAACAGGGAUUGCCCCAGUAACGGCGAGUGAAGCGGCAACAGCUCAGAUUUGGAAUCUGGCCCCCAGGGCCCGAGUUGUAAUCUGGAGAGGAUGCUUCUGGCGCGGCGCCUUCCGAGUUCCCUGGAACGGGACGCCGGAGAGGGUGAGAGCCCCGUACGGUCGGACGCCUAGCCUUUGUGAAGCUCCUUCGACGAGUCGAGUAGUUUGGGAAUGCUGCUCAAAAUGGGAGGUAAAUUUCUUCUAAAGCUAAAUAUUGGCCAGAGACCGAUAGCGCACAAGUAGAGUGAUCGAAAGAUGAAAAGCACUUUGAAAAGAGGG